UACGAAGGGACCUAGCGUAGUUCGGAAUUACUGGGCUUAAAGAGUUCGUAGGUGGUUGAAAAAGUUGGUGGUGAAAUCCCAGAGCUUAACUCUGGAACUGCCAUCAAAACUUUUCAGCUAGAGUAUGAUAGAGGAAAGCAGAAUUUCUAGUGUAGAGGUGAAAUUCGUAGAUAUUAGAAAGAAUACCAAUUGCGAAGGCAGCUUUCUGGAUCAUUACUGACACUGAGGAACGAAAGCAUGGGUAGCGAAGAGGAUUAGAUACCCUCGUAGUCCAUGCCGUAAACGAUGUGUGUUAGACGUUGGAAAUUUAUUUUCAGUGUCGCAGCGAAAGCGAUAAACACACCGCCUGGGGAGUACGACCGCAAGGUUAAAACUCAAAUGAAUUGACGGGGACCCGCACAAGUAGUGGAGCAUGUGGUUUAAUUCGAAGAUACGCGCAGAACCUUACCAACACUUGACAUGUUCGUCGCGACUCUAAGAGAUUAGAGUUUUCGGUUCGGCCGGACGAAACACAGGUGCUGCAUGGCUGUCGUCAGCUCGUGUCGUGAGAUGUUGGGUUAAGUCCCGCAACGAGCGCAACCCUCACUUUUAGUUGCCAUCAUUAAGUUGGGCACUCUGAAAGAACUGCCAGUGAUAAGCUGGAGGAAGGUGGGGAUGACGUCAAGUCCUCAUGGCCCUUACGUGUUGGGCUACACACGUGCUACAAUGGUAUCUACGACAGGAAGCAAGACUGCGAAGUUAAGCAAAUCCCUAAAAGAUACCUCAGUUCGGAUUGCACUCUGCAACUCGAGUGCAUGAAGCUGGAAUUACUAGUAAUCGUGGAUCAGCGUGCCACGGUGAAUGCGUUCCCGGGUCU
RNAcentral lists this ribosomal RNA (856 nucleotides) under uncultured bacterium. Its description in RNAcentral is "SSU rRNA". It matches the Rfam family "Bacterial small subunit ribosomal RNA", at positions 524 to 1381 of the family's 1533-position model. The record is from RNAcentral.